RNAcentral lists this long non-coding RNA (1102 nucleotides) under Phasianus colchicus (ring-necked pheasant). Its description in RNAcentral is "lncRNA (ENSPCLG00000010990.1)". The record is from RNAcentral. Lineage: Eukaryota; Metazoa; Chordata; Aves; Galliformes; Phasianidae.
AAUAAAGCAGUGUUUUACAGCAGCCCAGCAGCACAGGAGGAUCUGGCAGUACUGGUGAAGUCCUUUCUCUGAACCAGACAACAGAAGCUGCUCUCCUAGUUCAUGGUUGCUCCUUCCCACUGGCAAACAACCUCGGGGAAUCUGCUUUCAGGUUGAGCCUGCUGCAAGGUGGAGGUGAAGAAAUGCGCAUCCAUCCUUUUUUGCCUUCUUGUUGCAGAACUCACCAACAAGACCAUUCAGGACUGAAUUCAUUUCCAGCAGGGAGCGAAUGGUUUGUUGGAACCUGGGGAGGCAGAGCCGCGGGCUGGGACCCGUGCAGGAUGAGUGGGGAUGUGGAUACAGUGAGAUGUGAGCCAAUGACCCCGAGGUUGGAAGCCAAAAUAGUAAACACGGGCUGGAAGAGUGGUUCUGCUUUCUGCUGCCGAUUCUCUCGUUCGUUUGAUUGCCGUGGAUUUAUUUUUGUCGCAGGACUGAAUAAUUCGGAGCCUUUUCAGAAGGCAGAGCUGUGCCUUUCGGGGCUGCACGUGUGGAAAUGCUCAUCUGCUGCCACCGCAGUGGGAAGGGCUUCUGGUCCUGUGCUCUAACGUUGUCCCACUUCUACUUUAACAUGAAAUUAAAGUCUCCCUUAAAAUUAACCUCGUGAGAAUUUAAAGUGAGCAAGCGCGCUUUAUUUUUAUGCAAGAUGUGUGGCUGGCCCCCUAAAUGGCUCCUCAAAUCAUAUUGAUGUGGGUAUCCCACCCAUUUCUAUGGCAGGUGGGGGGUAGCACUGCGAGCGAGCGUUUCCAAUGGAAAUGGGAAAAUAAUAGUGAUGAUCUUUGAGUGAACUUGGGUGGUGUUUGAGAAGUACGGUAUUAUCAGAGCUAAACAGAAGGUGGUCCAUGCAAAGGAUUUCAAUUGAGCUGUUUUGAGAAAUUGACACGUACUUUGAAGUUCUCUGGAGGAAGAUUUUUCCUCUGCCUUUCUUCCCUCGGGGAAAAAAAAAGCCACACAUUUGAACAGAAUUUAUCAUUUCUUGUAAUAUUUUCUAUUUUUAGGGUAUGUCUGUGUUCAGUAUGGAAGGACUGAAAAAAAUCUGUGAUUUUUCUUUAAGAUGUGGAGAUGU